This 465-nucleotide ribosomal RNA is filed under the name uncultured bacterium. RNAcentral describes it as "partial 16S ribosomal RNA". It matches the Rfam family "Bacterial small subunit ribosomal RNA", at positions 339 to 795 of the family's 1533-position model. The record is from RNAcentral.
CUACGGGGUGCACCAGUGGGGAAUAUUGGACAAUGGGGGAAACCCUGAUCCAGCAAUGCCGCGUGUGUGAAGAAGGCCUGCGGGUUGUAAAGCACUUUCGGUUGGGAGGACUGCUUCUAGCACUAAUAUUGUUGGAAGUUGAUGUUACCUUCAGAAGAAGCACCGGCUAACUCCGUGCCAGCAGCUGCGGUAAUACGGAGGGUGCAAGCGUUAAUCGGAAUUACUGGGCGUAAAGCGCGCGUAGGCGGCUAGAUCAGUCGGGUGUGAAAGCCCCGGGCUUAACCUGGGAACUGCAUCCGAUACUGUCUAGCUUGAGUACAGGAGAGGAGAGUGGAAUUCCACAUGUAGCGGUGAAAUGCGUAGAUAUGUGGAGGAACACCAAUGGCGAAGGCAGCUCUCUGGCCUGAUACUGACGCUGAGGUGCGAAAGCGUGGGGAGCAAACAGGAUUAGAUACCCGAGUAGUC